This 250-nucleotide ribosomal RNA is filed under the name uncultured bacterium. Its description in RNAcentral is "partial 16S ribosomal RNA". It matches the Rfam family "Bacterial small subunit ribosomal RNA", at positions 355 to 598 of the family's 1533-position model. The record is from RNAcentral.
UCGAGAAUCAUUCACAAUGGGCGAAAGCCUGAUGGUGUGACGCCGCGUGGAGGAUGAAGGUCUUCGGAUUGUAAACUCCUGUCAAGUGAGAGUAAAGCCGGGCGUUAACUGCGAGCCGGUUUGAGAGUAUCACUAGAGGAAGAGACGGCUAACUCUGUGCCAGCAGCCGCGGUAAUACAGAGGUCUCAAGCGUUGUUCGGAAUCACUGGGCGUAAAGGGUGCGUAGGCUGCACGGUAAGUCAGAUGUGAA